CAGGUAGUGACAGAAGAAAAUGCCACAUAAAAAGUUAACAAUGUGCAUUUUUGUGUUACAAUUAUGAUUGCUUAUUUUUCUUCUUAAUUUCUUAAUUUAUUUCAGAUUGUGUGUUAGUUUUUUAAAUGACAUUUUAUUAUUUAAUUCUAGAAAUUAGAGAUUGUAAAUAAUUUUUUUAGAUUUUAUUGUUUCAAAAAAGUAGACAAGGAGUCAUACAUUUUCUGGGAAAAUAACAAUUUAGAAAAAUGUUGACAAUCUAUCUAAUCCUAGGGGAAUCUUUGCAAGUGAUUGUUGUUUUGAGAGUGGCUCUUUACUGAUAUUCACCUAAAAUAAAAUACUUUGAAACAGUAUCUCCAUCCAAGAAAAAAGCUUACAAAAAUAAACAGUUGAGUUAUCUUGGAAACAAGAAACACUUUUAAAAAGAUAAUUACAUUUUAUAAUAAAUUACUUUAAUAAUCCAAAUGGAAUCAUCCUCCUUAAAAAUGUUUUGUUAGUAGUAAUUAUUAAAAUCAUAAAUCAUUUUGUAAAAUUUGUACUUUUGGUACAAAAUGAGAAAGUAUUUAAAAAUUUAUUUCAAAAAAUUUAGCAAUAGUUUGUUAAAUUCAGAUAGUAUAUUUUUUCAUGCGCGUCCGUGUGAAGAGACCACCAAACAGGCUUUGUGUGAGCAAUAAAGCUGUUUAUUUCACCUGGGUGCAGGUGGGCUGAGUCUGAAAAGAGAGUCAGCAAAGGGUGGUGGAUCAUCAUUAGUUCUUAUAGGUUUUAGGAUAGGUGGUGAAGUUAAGAGCAAUGUUUUGCAGGCAGGGGUGGAUCUCACAAAGUACAUUCUCAAGGGUGGGGAGAAUUACAAAGUACCUUCUUAAGGGUGGGGGAGAUUACAAAGUACAUUGAUCAGUUAGGGUGGGGCAGGAACAAAUCACAGUGGUGGAAUGUCAUCAGUUAAGGCUAUUUUUACUUCUUUUGUGGAUCUUCAGUUACUUCAGACCAUCUGGAUGUAUACAUGCAAGUCACAGGAGAUGCGAUGGCUUGGCUUGGGCUCAGAGGCCUGACAUUCCUGCCUUCUUAUAUUAAUAAGAAAAAUAAAACAAAAUAGUGUUGAAGUGUUGGGGCGGCGAAAAUUUUGGGGGGUGGUAUGGAGAGAGAAUGGGCGAUGUUUCUCAGGGCUGCUUCAAGCGGGAUUAGGGGCGGUGUGGGAACCUAGAGUGGGAGAGAUUAAGCUGAAGGGAGAUCUUGUGGUAAGUGGUGAUAUUGUGGGGACGUUAGAAGAAACAUUUGUCAUAUAGAAUGAUCGGUGAUGGCCUGGAUAUGGUUUUGGAUGAAUUGAGAAACUAAAUGGAAGAUACAAGGUCUGAAAAAAAGAAGGAGAAAAAUGGGUAUUAAAGGACUAAGAAUUGGAAGGACCCAGGACAUCCAAUUAGAGAGUGGCCAAGGGGGUUCAGCAUAAUUACUUGCUUGGUUGGCAAGAUUUUGGGCUUUAUCCUUGAGUUUUUUUAUGUUGUCAUACACCAGGCCAGAUUGAUUUAGGUAAAAAUAAGACUCUUCAUUUAAGAAUAUACAGAGUCCUCCUUUUUCAGCAGUGAGUAAGUCAAGGCCUUGGCGGUUUUGGAGGACAACUGCAGCUGAAGAGUCAACUUGGGCCUGGAGGCCUGAUAAAGUUUGUGAUAUGUCUGUAAUGCUAGCAGAGAAGUCAUUAGACAGGAUACGGAAGGUCGUGACAGAGGUUGAAAUGCCUGCUAUUCCAGUACCGAGAGCAACAGUGGAGGCAGAAAGUCCUAAACCAACCAUCAAGGGAAUUAGUGGAAUAACUCUUUUUUGUCGUGUCGGUGUCAUGAGGGGAACAGGGAGCUCUUCAGUCCCAUUUGCAAAUUGAAUUUUGGAGGUAAGGAAAACUAGUGUGCAUGUGCCUGUCCAAUUAGCAGGUAGACACAUGUAGGUAGAGGAUCCACAGAGGAAGAAGAGACUUUGUACUAGGCAAAACUGGAGAUGUAAAGUAAAAAGGUGAGAAGGAGUGCUGAAAGGGGUGUCUUGUACCCAGACUCUUAGGGAUCCACCUAGGGGGGCAGCAGUCAGAGGUUGUAAUGGGGACUGAUGGGGUAACUGCGUAGAGGGGGAGGUUCGAUUUUCAUGGUAUAUGAGAAAACGUUGAGCAUCUACGAGCAAACUUUCACUGUUAUUUUUGGGGCUGGGUAUAAGUAAACAAGAAGAGGGUCUGGGAGGAGAGUCUGAUGAGCAAGGGGAAAAUAGCCAAGGAUGGAGUGAAAUACAGGACAAGUGUCUUCCUAAGCAAUAAUUACUGCUAACGUUUUUAAGUUUGUCAGUAUUGAUAGAGGGCUUGUCUGUAAUAUGGAGCUGGAAGGCUCCAUUUGUUUCAGUGAUGUGUGUAGUUGGGCUUCGGAGAUGAAGAGUAAAGGAACAUCGAGAAGGUGAAAGAUUACCUAGGGGAAUUCCAGUGGGUCUUUGCCGAGAGAUACAUAAAGGAGCGGCCACAGGAAUAGUAGUUUGUGUUGUGAGCGGUCCAAAUGUGGGGGGAGUAGAGUUAAUAUAAGGAGAAAGGUUUUUUAAAUAAGUGCAGAGGAGGGCGGCAGCUUGCUGAUGUGAAAUGUCUGGGGAAGUCUUGCUGGACCUGUCUAGAAAGUAAAUGAGUUUUUCAGGAGGGUAAAGGUGAGGGCUGUUAAAGGAAGUUCGGAGGUGUGGGGAGACAGGAGAUGUUGCCCAGUCUGUCUGUAAGGCAGGGACAGCUGGGUAGGCACUGGAAGGAAGGGAAAUGCAAAGCCAGCAGUUUUUCACUAAGGAGGGAUUAGAAACGGCUAGGAGAGAAUGGGUAAGGUUGAUAGUGUGGUGGAGAUAGCUGGGGAGAGGUAAAGGGUGGCAUAAGAUUGGGAAUGAGAAUAAGAGUGAGUAUAAAAGUAAAGAAUAGAACUUCAUCAGGGUGGAAGUAUUGGAGGAUGCCCUGCCAGCAAAGAUCAUCUAUCCACUCUAAGAGGGAGUUAAGAGUGGCAGUUUCGGGAUAGCACCAAGAGAUAUCAGCUGUGAUGGCUUGAAGAAACAGUGUAAACUGGUGGUGUAAACAAGAGUAGGGCAUUUAUAAGUAGUUGAUAAUGGAGAAUAGGAGUAUGACCAGACAGAAGAUAGUAGGGAUGACUCGUUUUUGGGGGCACAGUCUAAGUUAGUCUGCUCUCUGGAAUGAGACUGGGGCCUAAUAAAAAGGAGCAUCUAUACAGGAGCUCAAAUGGGCUGUACCCUGUAGCAUUCUGAGGACAGGUCUGACUUCUGAGAAAGGAAAGUGGUAAAAGUAUUGUCUAGUCCUUUUUAAGUUGGUGGCUGAGCUUGGUGAGGUGUGUUUUUAAAAGACCGUUAGUCUGUUCUACUUUUCCUGAAGACUGAGGACUGUAAGGGAUAUAAAGGUUUCACUAAAUAUUAAGAGCCUGAAAAACUGCUUGGCUGAUUUGACUAAUAAAGGCUGGUCAGUUAUCAGACUGUAUAGAGGUGGGAAGGCUAAACUGAGGGAUUAUGUCUGACAGAAGGGAAGAAAUGACUGUGGUGGCCUUCUCAGACCCUGUAGGAAAGGCCUCUACCUAUCCAGUGAAAGUGUCUACCUAGACUAAGAGGUAUUUUAGUUAUCUGACUCGGGGCAUGUUGAGUAAAGCUAAUUUGCCAGUCCUGGGUGGGGGCAAAUUCUUGAGCUUGAUGUGUAGGGAAGGGAGGGGGGCCUGAAUAAUCCUUGAGGAGUAGUAGAAUAGCAGAUGGAACACUGAGAAGUUAUUUCCUUGAGGAUAGAUUUCCACGAUGGAAAGGAAAUGAGAGGUUUUAAGAGGCGGGCUAGUGAUCUGUACUAUAGCAUAGCCUGCCUUUGCUGGUGUGUGGUGAUUAGGCCUGGUGGAACCGCCAUUAAUAAAUCAAGCAUGAUCAGGGUGAGGAACAGGAAAGAAGGAAAUAUGGGGAAAUGAGGUGAAUGUCAGGUGGAUCAGAGAGAUACAGUCAUGAGGGUCAGGUGUGGUUUCCAGAAUAAUGUGGGAGACCGGAUUGAAGUCCCGGUCAGGAACAAUGGUAAUUGUGGGACUUAACAAAGAGUGAGUACAGCUGAAGGAGCCGGGGAGCAGAAAGUAUAUGCAUCAGGUAUGAGGAAGAAAAUAGAUUUUGGAAGUUAUGAGAAAUGUAGAGAGUAAGUUGAGCAUAGUUUGUGAUUUUGAGGGCCUCUAAAAGUAUUAGGGUGGCAGCAGCCGCUGCAGGGAGACAUGAUGGCUAGGCUAAAACAGUAAGGUCAAGUUGUUUGGACAGAAAGGCUAUAGGGUGUGGUCCUGGCUCUUUUGUAAGAAUUCUGACUGCACUAUGCCUAGGAAGGGAAGGAGUUGUUGUUUUGUAAGGGAUUGAGGUUUGGGAGAUUAAUCGGACACAAUCAGCAGGGAAAGCACAUGUGUUUUUAUGAGAAUUGUGCCGAGAUAGGUAACAGAUGAGGAUGAAAUUUGAGCUUGACUGAAGUAAUGGGGGCUGUCUAUGAAGACUUGCGGCAGUACAGCCCAGAUCUCUAGAACUUUUUCAUCGAGCAUUAUCAAAACUUGACACCCUCUGAAGAACUGCCGUUUUCCCUAAGCUCCAGGCAGCCAUUCAUCUUUGGAAAGGUCCCUGCUUCCUCUGAGUCUUCUACAGAUACAGCAAGAACCCAUUGGACGAGGUGACCCAUGGCUUUCUCCUAUAACUGGAGUAUCUUCUGGCCAGGCCCAUGGAGGAAUACUCCCUAAUAACCAAAUUCUGAGGCAUUCAUUCAUUAUCUUUAAAGCAGUGCUUCCCAAACUGUAACAUGUGACUUCACAACUCUUCAUAUCAAAAGAUGGAGUUCAUUUCCAACCUCUUUUAAUUCAGACUGGCCUUGGGACUUCUUUUGAGCAACAAAAUAUGGCAGGAAUAAUGUUGUGAUCUCUGAGCUGGAAUGGAGAUGAUUCCCAAAAAACCUUAGAAGGCAUUACUGAAGAUAGAAAAACCUCCCAGAGCCUGAUUUCUGAAUGAUUGUCCAUUUGGCAUAGUCACCAGGUGUGGAUGAAACGAGGCUUCACCCCUGAGUCUGCAACCUUAGACAAGUUUCUCCACAAUGCUACUCUGAGAUCAAGAUCUCAACUGUACAUCCUGGAGACAACACAACAACACAAGGGAAUAAAAUCUUAUACAACUGUCAGAGGUAUUGUGGAGUUCAAAUUAGAUGAUAUACAAUGACACCAAGGAAAAUACAUUGUGAAAUUUGACGAGAUUCUGAACUCAAAAAGAGAUGCUGCUCUAUUCAUUUCAAAACAACUCAUAAUAAAAGUGUUCCGCCGGGCGCGGUCGCUUAUGCCUGUAAUUCCAACACUUUGGGAGGCCGAGGCGGGCGGAUCACGAGGUCAGGAGACCGAGACCAUCCUGGCUAACGCGGUAAAACCCCGUCUCUACUAAAAAAAUACAAAAAAAUUAGUGGGGCGUGGUGGCAGGAGCCUGUAGUCCCAGCUGAGGCUGAGGCAGGAGAAUGGCGUGAACCCGGGAGGCGGAGCUUGCAGUGAGCCGAGAUCGCGCCACUGCACUCCAGCCUGGUCGACAGGGCGAGACUCCGUCUCAAAAAAAAAAAAAAAAAAAAAAAACAGUUUUCCAACUUAGCGUUUCCGGCAUUAACUAAUCACACCUCAAUCUCACUUUUAUUUUUGCUCUUCUUGUUUUUUUCAACUGGCACCUGGAGCAGGUCAGUCACAUUCCUCAUUUUUCAGGGACACCUUCGAUGCCAGAUUCUUUUUGCCUUCCGGUAAGAUUUUUUUUUUAGUAUCUUGGCCAUUUAGGGGGAGGGAGGAUAAGAAAUAAAGGGACAGUAUUAGAGCGUUAAUAAAUUGUUUUUUGUAAAUACGUUUUAGGAUGUUCACAUGUAGUGCUUCUUCAAGAUUUCUAAAAGUAUCUACGUUAUGGCUUCACUCUAUCAUUGUAAGCCUUACUAGGAUUCCUGAAUUUUGACAUAUAUUUAUUUUUUCUUCUGACUCAAGCUUUGAAUGACAAGAAUACUGUCAUGUUUUCUAUAUUUUCCACAAGAUAGAUAGAAUAAAAUACCCAUCAACUCUCUUUACACAUAGACUUUUUAAUAAAUUGUUUAAACUAUUCACAUCUCCAAUGGCUAAUUUGGGAUGAUACAGAAAUGCACAUGUUUUUAAAUAUAUAUCAAGAGCAUAUUAAACAAUUCCACAGCACAGAUGAAUAAUAUUGUUACCAGUGAAAUUCAUGCUGUAUCCUAAAACAAAUAGCCAAUAUUUGACAUAAUAAAGCAAAUAUCCUUUUACCUUUACUAUCAGUUUGGGGGCUGUUAAAUUAUUGGGGAAGUGGCAGGUAAAAUUUUCUUUUUAUCUUUUCUGAAAAUAAAAUAAUUUGGUAAUGUUCCAGGUCAGUAUACAAAGAGUUUUCUAAUUUAUGUAUAAAUUUUUAAAAUAAAGUAUAAUAGAGCAAAAAGCUCACUAGCAUUUAGAACUGUCCUGAUAACAGAAUGACAGGGCCUGGGCUUGAAUUUUGUGUAAAAAGAUUGUAGGUGCCAAAUCAUCUCCAUUUCUCAUAUCAUGAUUAAUUCUCCAGAGAAUUAUAGCAGGUACACAAAUUAGAAGAGCUCUUUGAAUCUUACUUUCAAAUUUGAAAAAGAAAAUGUGUAUUGUUUUGCAACAUAGCUUUUGAAUUAAUGUUUUUAAUUUAUAUUAUUAUUCUGACCUAAUAUUUAGGUAUUAUAUAUUUGAAAUAAAAAGAGAGGCCACCAUCAUAUUAAGCAUGACAUGAAGUACCUGGCAUAUUCUGAGUUAUGUGUACAGGUAAUUAGUUCUAACUCAAGGUAAUGUUCUCAUAAAUAGGGAACAAAUAUUACCAAAUUCAUUAAUUAGUCAUGCUUAUACUUCUGUCAUUUGGAAUAAUGUGUUUGCUUGAACUAAGGUUUCCUAUUUAUUAGAGUCAUUAAUGACUGUCAGUAAGAUACAGUGCUCUAACAUUUCACCAAUAUUUGAGAAACGCACAGGUAUUGCAUUUUUUUAACAGGGGACUAGUCUCAUUUUAUAUCUGUAUGGAAUGACAACCACAGUAUUAAAUUCCCUUGGCCUAUUUCUGCUACUUUCCUUUAUUUCAUUCAUCCUACUGUUUCCUUUAUUUCAUUCAUCCUCUACCAUUUUUAUUCUUAUAACACGUAUAUCAUUGUAUCAUAAUUACUUGUUUGCAUUUCUGCCUUCCUCCACUAAAGCACAUGAAUCAUUCUGCUUCUCAUAAGCAUCCUCAUUUAUUGUUUAAUGAAUUUAAACAUUCACUUAUACACAUAUAUUUCAAUAAAACUUUCAAAUAAACUAUUUUAACUAAAUUAAAAUAUUUUAGCUGUUAAUAUACGUAUGCAAUCAUUCUUCUGUGAAUAUAUGCAACAUACAUUACUUUGCAUUAUAUAUCUAAACACAAACACAAGGACUAUUGUAUUAGUCCUUUUUCAUGCUACUGAUAUAGACAUACCCAAGACUGGGUAAUUUAUAAAGAAAAAGAGGUUUAAAGGAAUCACAGUUCCAUGUGGCUGGGGAGGCCUCACAAUCAUGUUGGAAGGUGAAAGGCACAUCUUACAUGGCAGCAGCCAAGAGAGAAUGAAAGCCAACUGAAAAGGGAACAAGAAUAAAAAUAUAUAUCCAUGCUAAUGGGAGGUUGCUUAUAAGACAAUGUCUGACAUAUAUGAUUUAUUACAAGUUAUUGAUUCCAAUAUUUUUAAAAAUCUACCACAACACAUUAUCAACAAAAUAAAAUCACACAAAAUCCUGUUAAAUAUUUUGUUAUGAUAUUUUAUGCAACUUUUUAAAGCAUAUAUUAUUUCACCUAACUAAAAUGUAUAUGAAUAAUAUUUCUACAUUUUCAUAAUGAACUAAGGCAGCAUUUCCCAAAGAGUGUUUCAGAAAAUACGUCUUUAGAGAUGUUCUUUUUUUUUUUAUUAUACUUUAAGUUUUAGGGUACAUAAAAAUGAAUUAAUGUUAUAUAGAUUAAAAAUAAGCAUAUGAAAAUGUUCUCAACAACAUAAGUCAUCAGGGAAUUGCAAAUUAAAACAACGAGAUACCACUACGUACAUAUUAGAAUGAAUAUAAUAAAAAAAAACUAAAUUCAAAUUGCUGACAAAGAUGCAGAACAAGAAUUCUCACUCAUGCUGGUGAGAAUAUAAAAUGGCACAGCCACUUUGGAAGACCACUUGGCUAUUUCAUACAAAAACAACACUUUUCCUAUACAACGUAGCGAUCAUGCUACUAGAUAUUCAUCCAGCCAAAUUGGGAAUGUAUGACCACAUAAAAACCUAUAUGUUAAUGUUUAUAGUGACUUUAUUCAUAGUCAGCAAAAAUGGGAAACAAUCAAAAUGUCUUUCCAUAGAUGAACAGGUAAACUUGACACAUUCAUAUAAUGGAAUAUUAUUCAGCAAUUUAAAAAAUGAGCUCUCAAGCCAUGAAAAGGCAU
RNAcentral lists this long non-coding RNA (8448 nucleotides) under Homo sapiens (human). Its description in RNAcentral is "HSALNT0063718". Lineage: Eukaryota; Metazoa; Chordata; Mammalia; Primates; Hominidae. The record is from RNAcentral.